RNAcentral lists this ribosomal RNA (471 nucleotides) under uncultured bacterium. RNAcentral describes it as "bacterial SSU rRNA". It matches the Rfam family "Bacterial small subunit ribosomal RNA", at positions 28 to 526 of the family's 1533-position model. The record is from RNAcentral.
GAUGAACGCUAGCGGCAGGCCUAACACAUGCAAGUCGAACGGUAACUAUUAGUGCUUGCACAAAUAAAGUUAGUGGCAAACGGGUGAGUAAUACAUGAGAAUUUUCCUUGCAGUACGGAAUAACUAUUGGAAACAGUAGCUAAUACCGUAUAUUGCCGAGAGGUGAAAGAUUUAUCGCUGCAAGAUAAGCCCAUGCAAGAUUAGCUUGUUGGUAAGGUAAUGGCUUACCAAGGCUACGAUCUUUAGCUGGUUUGAGAGGAUGAUCAGCCACACUGGAACUUAGACACGGUCCAGACUCCUACGGGAGGCAGCAGUGAGGAAUAUUGGACAAUAGGCGAAAGCCUGAUCCAGCGACGUCACGUGAAUGAUGAAGGCCUUAGGGUUGUAAAAUUCUUUUAGUGGAGAAGAUAAUGACGGUAUCCACAGAAAAAGUCCCGGCUAACUUCGUGCCAGCAGCCGCCGCAGUAACAC